This 383-nucleotide ribosomal RNA is filed under the name uncultured bacterium. RNAcentral's name for it is "bacterial SSU rRNA". It matches the Rfam family "Bacterial small subunit ribosomal RNA", at positions 30 to 414 of the family's 1533-position model. The record is from RNAcentral.
AUUGAACGCUGGCGGCAUGCCUUACACAUGCAAGUCGAACGGCAGCACGGGAGCAAUCCUGGUGGCGAGUGGCGAACGGGUGAGUAAUAUAUCGGAACGUGCCCAGUCGUGGGGAUAACGUAGCGAAAGCUACGCUAAUACCGCAUACUAUCUAUGGAUGAAAGCGGGGGAUCGCAAGACCUCGCGCGAUUGGAGCGGCCGAUAUCAGAUUAGGUAGUUGGUGAGGUAAAGGCUCACCAAGCCGACGAUCUGUAGCUGGUCUGAGAGGACGACCAGCCACACUGGGACUGAGACACGGCCCAGACUCCUACGGGAGGCAGCAGUGGGGAAUUUUGGACAAUGGGCGCAAGCCUGAUCCAGCAAUGCCGCGUGCAGGAUGAAGG